CUCUCUUCCUCUUUUUCUCUUCUCUCUUGCGAGCCCUCAAAGAUUUUCAUAUGCCUCCACCUCGUAUGCGCCGCCACCGCCUCCUACGCGCCACCUGCGCCUCGAUCACGUGAGCACUGUACGGGGCGAUAUGCCCCUCGAGGCCUUUACUCUCUCUUUCGCUCUCGCUCUCGCUCUCUCUCCGUCGUAUCAAUCUAUCAUGAUCCGUGCUGCCGCCCAUCUCAUCAGAUCUCGCGAUCCCAUGGACCUUGUUGUCCUACUUUCAAAUCCCGCAAUAUCGGCCGGAUCCCAUUGUCCUCCGACUCUCAAAUCCAGCAAUAUCGACUAGAAAUAUCGCUGGAGAUUUUGCACCGUCCGUCCCAUCACAAAUUCAACUGCCACACACAAAUCCCACCGCUCCAUGCUCUCUACCUCUCCAACCUCUCCUACAUCUCUCUCUAGGGUUUUCCAUCCUUAUUCCUAAUUCCUAAUCCCCCAUAAACCCUCUCAAUACAUACUUUUGGCAGAGAAGAAGAUAAGGCGAACAGACUCUUGCUCCAAGCGACAGAGGAGAAUGUACGGCGCGCCGUCAACGACCGAAACCCUAGCGAUGGCGGUGGAGGAAUUUCAGUGAAUGAGGGGAGUGGAGAUCAACUUGUCGGGGCCGUUCGAAUUGGUGAAGGUGGUGAAGGAGGCCGUCAAUUGCUUCUGCGGGAGCGCCAUGUGGAGGUCUCAGCUCAAGCAACUCAUCGCCUCUGAGGUGUGCAGCCUUUUUUUCAAAAGAGGCGUUUCAUCAAUGGCUUUGCAAUGGGAUUUUCUUACCACAAGUUGAGUAUCUAAUUAACUCACACAAUUGUGUUUGCUAAUAUUGUUUGCUGUAGUUGCUGCAGAGAGCAUGACCUCCGUUGCUUAAAUGUGAUUUUACAACCUAUAAUGUGUUUCAAUAGUUAUCAUAUUUUCUCGCAUGCAGAUUGUUCCCUAAAUAAUAGAUGUCAAAAAAGUGUGCUUGCUUUAAUUGACAUGCAGAUGUACCUAUCUUUGUAAUCUAAGAACUAGGCACAUUCUCCACCUCACAAAAAUAGCAUGAUUUUCCAUUGGCCUAAUUCCAAUUAAAAGUUUUGUAAAUAUUGCGCUUCAAAUUAUAUAGUAUUUGCAAAUUCUAUUAGUGGCAUUAGAAGAGAUAUAGCUAAACAUUAUCGGAUUAUCGACAGUGUAACACACUGAACUUUAGCAAAUUUGCGAGGUUCGAGUGUUUGAUUUAUGAACUGAGCCUUUUUGGGUUUUCUGUAUGGUCGUCGACUGUGUUCCGACCUAUGAUUCCCGAGGAGUGAGGAUGAAAAUCUAGCACCAAAACCUCUAAAAAGAAGGAUUUGGGCUGCUCUUGGGUUGACUCAGCAGGGCAGAGUACCGGUACUGCAUCGGCUUGGUACCGGUACUAGACCUGGUACCGGUACUUCAUCGCGAUGGUACCGGUAUGCAGUGUAUUUUCUAGCUUACCCGAGGCUCGGGUUUGGGCGAGCUGCUGCCUAGUACCGGUACUCUUGCCCGCGUACCGGUACGCAGUGCUGCGUGCAGUCUGCAUGUUUUUUAGGGUUCUCCUUGCAAUUGUUGCAACACUUUAUAUACCCCACACCUUUUGGCUGGGGUCUCUUGUGCUGCAACCAGAGAGGAGAAGAGGUAGGGUUCCUCUUCCAUUUUACUUGGAUUUUCCCCUCUCUUUUGCUUUGGAUUUGAGGAUUGAUCUCUCCACUUGCUUCCUUUUUGCAUCUUGGUGACCUUUCCACCAUUGGUGAAGCUUUGGAGCUUGGAUUGGAACCUUUUGGAGGAAAGAUUUCUAACCCUAGCUCACUUCUGGCUUGGUUUGGAGCUUCUAGAGAGGUUGGAUUUGAAGCUUUUUAGCUUCGAUUUGGGCUUUGAUCAAGUUCUUCUUGACCCAAGGGUGUUAGAAGUUUGGAGGACAACUUCAUUCGAAGGAACGAAAGGGUUCGAAGUGCUUCCGGUGGGUUUGACCUCAUCGAAAUGGAUGAACUCCCCCUAUGUCUUCCUUAUGGUUUAAGACAUAUUUAUAUACUUAUCCAUGCUUAAUAUGACAUGCUAGAAUUUAUGAAAACAUAAUACAUACAUGUUAUGUAUAGUCAAAUUUGAUGCUCUAUGUAGUAGAGGCUUAUAUGUGAACUUGUGCACGAACUAGCACUAUUUGAUGCAUUCUCUCUUAUGCAACCAUAGAAAGCAUGUUAGAGUAUGAAUGAUGGUAUGACUCUUAGGGGGUAUCUAGUGAAUGGCUUAGCAAAGUGAUUAUCUCACAUGAUGAACAAUAUACUUGUGACGACAAGGACAUGUGACAUUGCGACCUAGUGAAUAAUAAGGCUAGACAUGAAGCUAAGCAUGUUGUAUUUUAACCUAGUGGGAUGCCUAGGGCUUGAUAUUAUGACAAUGUAUUGACUUUGAGAUCGAUAGCAUAACUACAUGACUUUGACAUGUGAAAUGAAUGAGACUUAGCAAUUAGUUGCUUGUUGAGAUAUACUUGAAUAGACAAGGUAAAUUUGACAGUGGGACAUAAGUGCAUGUUAGGGUCUACAUGAAGCUAGUUUUGAUAAAUCUAAUGUAGUUGAACAACUAGUAUAUGAUAUAGUGAUAUUGCAUACAAUGUAGGGAUCGGUAAUAGCAUUCCAUGUAGUAGACAUGAGGAUAAUGAUUGGAACGCCCUUGGGCGAAUGACAAGUUGGAUAUUUGCAUGUGGCAUUAAUUGAAUGAAAUCACUUGCAUGAUAAUUUACUACUCCAUGUAGUGGAGGCCUUGUUAGUAAUGUAAAUGCAUGACAUGCACCAUGGACAUUGUAAAUACCUAUGCAUAUGGUAUAAGAAAGUGAUUUUUCCCUAGCUAUUGUGGAAUAGUAUAUGUGUAAGCUCUCAUGGAAACUUAAACCUUAGUGAAUUACCCUAGAUAGGAUAAUGACAAGAGUUAUGUGCUUAGGAACUAGUGAUUUAUACUUGAUAUAGUAAACCAUAAUGUCAUAAAGUGGCAUUGGAUUUAGUAAACGGUUAAACUUUUACACCAUGACAUAGAACUAGACCUUUGAAUUGUUAAACCUAUAAAUUUGCAUAAUAAUAUACUUGCAAUGAAUUGAAACCCUACUGUCUAAUCAACGGAGCAUGUGGCUUUCCUUUGUAUGCAUGCUGUAGACUAAACGUAUUUUUGAAGAUUUGUACAAAUUACGAAUGUAGUGUGGACUUAUUUUUAUAAAUUUCUAAAUUAUAUAUUCGAGGCAAUGAUGAUAAAAAAGAAAGAAAGAAUAGGAAUUCCAAUCAAUUUUAUAGUUAACUGAAGUUUCUUCUUAUUGACUCAAUUAUUUAUUCGGUAUUAGCAUUUGUUUAUAUUAAUUUAUUUUUUUUCAAUUCUUUAUGCAUUCUCACACCUUCUUCGGUUUUCUUUUUUCUUUUUUUUUUUUCUUUUUUCUUCACUUCUCCCUAUUAGUUUCUUUUUCUUCCCAGUUUCUUAUGUAUGGCAUAAUAUAUGAUUCAAGUUUAUAACCAAAAAAAAAAAAGAAAUCUGCAGUGAAGCGCGAGUUCUUAACUAGUGAUAUAGUAUGUGGCCUCUCUUGACAUUUUAGAAACGGUAAUACUUGAAAUUUAAUUAGAAAGAGGGGUGCUAGACGAUGACUGGGAAGGAUGCGAUUUGACAUAGGAGUUAAUGAGUUAGAGAAGGGAGCUGAAAGAAAAAAUACAGGUUCUAGACAAUGAAGAAGUGUUGUGAAAAACUAGCGCCAAACAACGGUGGCUGCGAGAAGGUAAUGGAAACUCAAAAUUCUUUUAUGCUAUAACUAGUGGUAGGAAACAUACGAACGAGAUAACUGUGAUUGAGCAUAGUGUACAAAAAAUUCUUCAAUACUGAGAAGAAGAAACAAUACUUUUGGAGAUCCUUUAAAGAAAUGUUUGCAUCCGAAGAGCAACGACCAGUGAUGCGUGGGGACUAGAGAAGCCUGCUCCAUGUCAAAGGAAUUACAAAUCUAGAAUAAUUAACUAGCCCCUUCAAAAUGAAGGAGAUUAGGAUUGCUAUUUUUCAACUGGGAAGAGAUAAAGCACUAGGGCCAAAUGGAUUCCCAAUAAGCUUCUAUCAUACUUUCUGGGAUCUACUCAAGGAGGACAUAUGGAAUUGUAAUGUAUUGGACCUUUGCAUAUGUGUAAGUUUGUAGUAUGAGAUAAUGGUUGGCACUUUUGAAGAGUGGUAGACUGAGUUAGAGCUAUUAUGACAUGAAAUGGAUGCGAAAAUGGACUCGAAAAAGUGAAAUUAGCUGAAACUUGUGUUUCAGGGUAGUUUUGAACACUUGGAAAGUGUAGUGGGCCUAGGAAGUGCUUAGCUGAGGAAUGGUGUGGUUUCGGAGGAUCUAGAUGAUGGACCAAAAGCCCAAAAGUUUCAAGUGGGAUUUUCAUAUGCCUAGUUAUGUCGUAGAUUGAUCAGAAAGAGGAAAGUCACUACUCAUGCAAUGUUGUGGGCGCCUAGAGUUACAAUAGCAACCCGUAAGUCUGAGUAUAAGGUUGUGAAGAGUGGCAAGUAGUGAAUAGGUAGUCACUCUUUGGGAUUCGGAUGAUAAGUGUAACAUACCGGACUUCUAAAGUUAUGAAGUCACGGUGUAUGUUGGGCUGGAAAACUAUUUGAAUGGUUCCGGUGAGGUUCGGUGAAGUUCGGAAGCUUUCGGGCGUUUCGGUGCGCGUAGGCGCGAAAACGGAACCCGAAAGGCUAUGUUGGGCCGUGAGCUAAGUUCGGCAUUAGCGUGGAUGAAAAGAUGAUGGAGACAUGUUCGAAAACAUGUUUGGGAGAAUGUAGCAUAUUGGAACCCAGAAGGAAUUAUUGAACUUUAGCCAAAUUGGCUAAAACAUGCGAAUAAGAUGAAUGGACGAGUUCCAGUUAACAUUCCAUCAAGGUUGGAAGGGUUAAGAUGAGUUCUAAAAGAGUUAGAAAGGUUUUAGCGUUGUCCGGCGCGAAAUAGAGUCGAAAAUAAGCUAAAAAUCAAGUCUGGAGCAUUGUGUACCGGUACAAGUUGAUGGUUGUACCGGUACAACAAGCGACCCGAAGAAUGGCAACUCUCGGGUUUGAGUGAAAAAGGCUGUUAAACCGGUGACACGGGAAAGUGUACCGGUACACUUUGGCAGAAUGGCAAAGAUUUGGUCUGCUGCAAUUAUAAUUGAUUGGAGGGGUUUAUUUGCAAUUGUUACCUAAUGUAAUAGCCCUAAACCCCUCUCCCUCACAGCAGAUCUCUCUCCCUCUCUCCCUCUCGUGUCUCUCCCUCUCCCUCUCAACCGGUUGCAAGAAAAGGAGAAGGAAAAGAAGAAAAGAGAAGGAAAAAGAAAAGAGAAGGAA
Long non-coding RNA from Ananas comosus (pineapple), 5337 nucleotides. RefSeq lists it as uncharacterized. The record is from RefSeq and is a predicted model, not a curated record. NCBI's taxonomy places the organism in Eukaryota, Viridiplantae, Streptophyta, Magnoliopsida, Poales, Bromeliaceae. The transcript is spliced from 4 exons.